GUAACUUCAAAAACGAAUAAGAAAUAACAGUUUUUGUGUGAGGACACAGUCUUGUAAAAAAAAAAAAAAUCGGUUUCCUAUUGAACAUACUUCUUUCCAAAAUAAAUAUUCUAGUUUGAUUACAUUUUAGGGUGUCUGAGUAGUAAAUACAAAUGUAUUUUGACUUGUUGAAACAAAGUUUAAGGGGUAGAUUUUCGGAUUCCUUUCUCUGCAAGUUGAAUGAGUGGAUUACUCAUUGAUGGCGCCAACUAAACUGACUUUUUUGGGAUAUAAAAAAUGAUUUUAUCUAACAAAACUACAUGCUGGGACCCUCUUGAUGACAAAUCAGAGGAAAAUUUUCAAAAAGUAACCCAUAAGGACAGCCUCCCCUCUAAGAUAGUGUUGACGGUGAAGAUGGCUCCAUUCCAUGGUUUCCUGCAUAGGUCAACACCAGGGAGAAGAUCACCACUACCAGGGGACCAGAGAGUUUCUUCCAAGCGCAUGUCAACACUGGCCACAUCCAGCACCUCCAGGUGGAUCCGGACCAGAGCCAUGACACUUUCCUCCUGGACAAACUCCAAUGGCGUCAGAGGUCCAUGACAUCAGGGUCUCUGUGGAUAUCAUCCCGCUCCCUGUCUUUAAAGUGACCCUGGAGGAAGGGUCAUCAGAGGCCCUGACCAAGGAGGUCAUACAGGUGGAUUCAGGACAUAUUUAUUAUGUCCAUGAUGGAAGUGAUACACUGGCAGAUAACUUCAACAUCAUGGCCAACGACACCGACAUCCAGGAAGCCCAGCCAGCCCUGCACGGUGUUUGUCCAUGUGACGCCUGUCAACGAUGAGGCCCCGGUCAUAACAGCCAACGGGAUAUUACGCUUUCCCCCAUACAGGUGUGGGUGAACUCAGUCGCAGAGAUCUGCGUAGAUGACCUGAGUGUUGAGGACAGUGCCUCUCCUCCUGAGGACCUAGAGUUCAUCGAAACCCCGCCUAGCAACAGACACCGGGCCCUGAAGAGCUCCCCCUUCAGGCACAUCCUGAACUUCACCCAGACACACAUCCUUUGGGGACUGGUGUUUGUGCACAGUGGUGCCCUGUCAGGAGGAUUUCACUUCCAGGUCAAUAAUGGGGUGAACAUUACCCCUGUCAGAUCUUCAGUGGUUCUCAGCCUGGAGAGUAACCACGUCCUCACGGUGUUCCCAGGUAUCACAACAGGAAAUGGAUAUAUAGACCUUGAACCAGACACUUAAGGUGUUCCCAGGUAACAUAAUAGGAAAUAGAACUAUAG
Molecule: long non-coding RNA, 1260 nt
Filed under: Salmo salar (Atlantic salmon)
Lineage: Eukaryota; Metazoa; Chordata; Actinopteri; Salmoniformes; Salmonidae
Description: lncRNA (ENSSSAG00000095955.1)
Source: RNAcentral